RNAcentral lists this ribosomal RNA (998 nucleotides) under Microbacterium halotolerans. Its description in RNAcentral is "bacterial SSU rRNA". It matches the Rfam family "Bacterial small subunit ribosomal RNA", at positions 123 to 1169 of the family's 1533-position model. Lineage: Bacteria; Bacillati; Actinomycetota; Actinomycetes; Micrococcales; Microbacteriaceae. The record is from RNAcentral.
AACCUGCCCCUGACUCUGGGAUAAGCGCUGGAAACGGCGUCUAAUACUGGAUAUGCACCAUACAGGCAUCUGUUGUGGUGGGAAAGAUUUUUUGGUUGGGGAUGGGCUCGCGGCCUAUCGUUGGUGAGGUAGUGGCUCACCAAGGCGUCGACGGGUAGCCGGCCUGAGAGGGUGACCGGCCACACUGGGACUGAGACACGGCCCAGACUCCUACGGGAGGCAGCAGUGGGGAAUAUUGCACAAUGGGCGCAAGCCUGAUGCAGCAACGCCGCGUGAGGGAUGACGGCCUUCGGGUUGUAAACCUCUUUUAGCAAGGAAGAAGCCUUUGGGUGACGGUACUUGCAGAAAAAGCGCCGGCUAACUACGUGCCAGCAGCCGCGGUAAUACGUAGGGCGCAAGCGUUAUCCGGAAUUAUUGGGCGUAAAGAGCUCGUAGGCGGUUUGUCGCGUCUGCUGUGAAAACUGGAGGCUCAACCUCCAGCCUGCAGUGGGUACGGGCAGACUAGAGUGCGGUAGGGGAGAUUGGCUGGUGUAGCGGUGGAAUGCGCAGAUAUCAGGAGGAACACCGAUGGCGAAGGCAGAUCUCUGGGCCGUUACUGACGCUGAGGAGCGAAAGGGUGGGGAGCAACAGGCUUAGAUACCCUGGUAGUCCACCCCGUAAACGUUGGGAACUAGUUGUGGGGGCCUUUCCACGGUCUCCGUGACGCAGCUAACGCAUUCCCCGCCUGGGGAGUACGGCCGCAAGGCUAAAACUCAAAGGAAUUGACGGGGACCCGCACAAGCGGCGGAGCAUGCGGAUUGAUGCAACGCGAAGAACCUUACCAAGGCUUGACAUAUUCGAGAACGCCGUAGAGAUACGGAACUCUUUGGACACUCGUUUACAGUGUGCAUGAUGUCGUCAGCUCGUGUCGUGAGAUGUGGUAAGUCCGCACGAGCGCACCCUCGUCUCUGUGCCAGCACGGUAUGUGGUACUCAGGGAUACUGCGGGUCCACUCGAGA